UACGGAGGGGGCUAGCGUUGUUCGGAAUUACUGGGCGUAAAGCGCACGUAGGCGGCUUUGUAAGUUAGAGGUGAAAGCCCGGGGCUCAACUCCGGAAUUGCCUUUAAGACUGCAUCGCUAGAAUUGUGGAGAGGUAAGUGGAAUUCCGAGUGUAGAGGUGAAAUUCGUAGAUAUUCGGAAGAACACCAGUGGCGAAGGCGGCGACCUGGUCCGAUACUGACGCUGAGGCGCGAAAGCGUGGGGAGCAAACAGG
This 253-nucleotide ribosomal RNA is filed under the name uncultured bacterium. RNAcentral describes it as "partial 16S ribosomal RNA". It matches the Rfam family "Bacterial small subunit ribosomal RNA", at positions 524 to 776 of the family's 1533-position model. The record is from RNAcentral.